AACAGAGGAUGCAAGCGUUAUCCGGAAUUAUUGGGCGUAAAGUGUCUGUAGGUGGCUUUUCAAGUCCGUCGUCAAAUCCCAGGGCUCAACCCUGGACAGGCGGCUGAAACUACCAAUCUUGAGUGCCGGAGAGGCAGAGGGAAUUUCCGGUGGAGCGGUGAAAUGCGUUGAGAUCGGGAAGAACAACAACAGGCGAAAGCACUCUGCUGGGUCGUCACUGACACUCAGAGACGAAAGCUAGGGGAGCGAAUGGG
This 254-nucleotide ribosomal RNA is filed under the name uncultured bacterium. RNAcentral describes it as "partial 16S ribosomal RNA". It matches the Rfam family "Bacterial small subunit ribosomal RNA", at positions 524 to 776 of the family's 1533-position model. The record is from RNAcentral.